CCGUCCAUUUGCCCCUCUAUACUCGAACCUCUCUAAUUCGAAAUUUCUCCACUUGGAAUCUAUUUAAUUCGAACUCUCUUUAUUUCGAAACCUAGCUAAUUCGAAUGAAAAGCCGAUUCCCUUCAAUUUCGAAUUAUCGAGAGUCCAAUGUACAUCCACUGACCACAUUGUUUCUUAUCCAGCCUCCACGAGCACACCCCAUCUUUCCUUUUGCUCACAGUUCCUUUUAGCAUAAAUACGUCCAAUUUAUACCGAGUGCACUGGUCCAUUACAAUAAGCGCGGAGGUUCGUAUUGGACGGGCGAAAAAGAGCCUGUAUACAGGAAGGCGCAAAGGCGGCGGAUUUGAAUACCGGUCGGGUCGACCUUGGCGGUGGCAGUGGUGGCGGAAAGGCGCAGCGGAGCGGCCGCGAUGAGGUCAAACGCAUCCCGCGGCCGCGUCCACACACACAGAGCACGGAGACACCGUUGCGCAACAACGACAACGAGGUGCCGUGACCGACAACAAUAACACCGGCCGACCCGACAACUUGCACUUUCACCAUGAAGACGAUCCCGUUGCUGAUGAUGGCAGCGACGCUAGCGCUGAGCUUCGGACAACAGGCGGGGCGUCUCCUGCGAGUGCCCAAGAUCUACAACACGCUGAUAUCGUCGGACGAGGAGCUGAUCCCGAGCCUGGCCUACAAGGCCGUGUCGCCGAUCGUCAAGUCCAUCGCCCCGAGCCCCUACUUCCCCUACGCCCCCAUCGUCAACGUCGCCACCCACGAGCCCGUCGUCAUCCCCCCGCAGGAGUCCUACCAGAGCCACUUCGAGCAGGACCCCCAGGUCCUCAGCUACGACCGCAAAGGAGUGUACAACGACCUGAUCAGCAGCCUGUUGACGCUGAACCAGAGCCUGUCCAACUCGAUGUCGGCCGAGGACUCGCCAGGGCCGCGAGGAAAGGCGAAGCAGGAGCGAUUCGGGGACAUCCGCAACAACCGGAACCGGAACCCGAGCGUCCCGGACGUCCCACCACCCCCGAUUCCGGUCCGGAUCAAGGAAGACGCCCCGCAAGAAACACCCACGCGCCCCGGACAGGAGUUCCCACCGCCGCCCGUCGGGGCCAUCUAG
Molecule: long non-coding RNA, 1108 nt
Filed under: Bemisia tabaci
Lineage: Eukaryota; Metazoa; Arthropoda; Insecta; Hemiptera; Aleyrodidae
Description: lncRNA ENSSSA1UGG000857
Source: RNAcentral